This 1044-nucleotide long non-coding RNA is filed under the name Homo sapiens (human). RNAcentral describes it as "HSALNT0232704". Lineage: Eukaryota; Metazoa; Chordata; Mammalia; Primates; Hominidae. The record is from RNAcentral.
CGGGAAACCCGGGCCCGUUGCAUCCGCUGGGUGUAGCCGUGGGGAUGGCAGGUUCGGGGAGGCUGGUCCUACGGCCCUGGAUUCGGGAGCUGAUUCUGGGGUCAGAGACACCCUCCAGUCCACGAGCCGGGCAGCUGCUUGAGGGAGGAGAAGGAGUUCGGCUUCCGCGGGACAGAGGGCCGGCUGCUGCUGCUGCAGGACUGCGGGGUUCAUGUCCAGGUCGCUGAGGGCGGCGCGCCCGCAGAGUUCUAUCUCCAGGUGGACCGCUUCAGCCUGCUGCCCACGGAGCAGCCCCGGCUACGGGUGCCUGGUUGGUAAGUGAUGCCUCCGCCCUCCAGCAGCUCUCCCCACCCCAGCCUGGCCGGCGCUGGCAGACGCCUAUGGGGUAGGAGGGCUUGGGCCCCCAUUAACUACCCUUCUCUUUUUCUUAGCAACCAAGACUUAGAUGUUCAGAAAAAGCUCUAUGACUGCCUUGAGUGAGUCUGGGGUUGGGCUCGGGGGCCACGUGUUGUUUGGUGAGGGGAUGGUGUAUCUAGGUAGACAGGCCUCAGCAUGGUUCCUGAGUCCUGGCCACUCUCUUCCUGUAGGGAGCACCUUUCAGAGUCCACCUCGUCCAAUGCAGGUACUGUAGAGCUUGACCAGUGAUCCUAACACGCUGUGCAGUGAUCUCUCCAGCCUUAACCUUAUGCUUCCUCAAUAAGCUGUCUUCCCCCUCACCCUCCUGGUCCUCCCCUUUAAGCCUUGACUCAUCCCAUGGUCCCCUGUCCCCAGGCCUAUCACUGUCCCAGCUUCUGGAUGAAAUGCGGGAGGACCAGGAGCAUCAGGGGGCACUCGUGUGCCUGGCUGAAAGCUGCCUGACACUGGAGGGCCCUUGCACAGCACCCCCUGUCACCCACUGGGCUGCCUCACGAUGCAAGGCCACGGGAGAAGCUGUGUACACUGUCCCCAGCUCAAUGCUGUGCAUCUCUGAGAAUGACCAGCUAAUUCUGAGCUCUCUAGGCCCCUGUCAGAGGACACAGGGUAAGGGGGACUGGAGAGGUUGGG